CAGGGCUUGACAUCCCUCUGAAAUCUCUAGAGAUAGAGGCUCCCUUCGGGGCAGAGGUGACAGGUGGUGCAUGGUUGUCGUCAGCUCGUGUCGUGAGAUGUUGGGUUAAGUCCCGCAACGAGCGCAACCCUUAUCUUUAGUUGCCAGCAUUCAGUUGGGCACUCUAGAGAGACUGCCGUCGACAAGACGGAGGAAGGUGGGGAUGACGUCAAAUCAUCAUGCCCCUUAUGUCCUGGGCUACACACGUGCUACAAUGGAUGGAACAACGGGCAGCUAACUCGCGAGAGUACGCAAAUCCCUUAAAACCAUUCUCAGUUCGGAUUGCAGGCUGCAACUCGCCUGCAUGAAGCCGGAAUCGCUAGUAAUCGCGGAUCAGCAUGCCGCGGUGAAUACGUUCCC
This 399-nucleotide ribosomal RNA is filed under the name uncultured bacterium. RNAcentral's name for it is "bacterial SSU rRNA". It matches the Rfam family "Bacterial small subunit ribosomal RNA", at positions 975 to 1375 of the family's 1533-position model. The record is from RNAcentral.